RNAcentral lists this long non-coding RNA (636 nucleotides) under Pogona vitticeps (central bearded dragon). RNAcentral's name for it is "lncRNA (ENSPVIG00000012256.1)". Lineage: Eukaryota; Metazoa; Chordata; Lepidosauria; Squamata; Agamidae. The record is from RNAcentral.
CACAAAGAUCUCUCUUACCGACAGUGCAAAUGUCUGGCCUCAGGUCUCCGGGUUUGGGCCAACUCUUAGGGAGUGGGGCUGCUGCUGCCCUGGCAAUCCUUUAUACCACAGUGGGAACAGCAGGCUGGACUAGAUAAGCCUUUGGUUUGAUCUAGCAGUGCUCUUCUUACAUCAAAGAGCACAUUUGUGUCUUCCAAAAAUCCCUCACAUCUGAAUAAGAAAUACAGUUUUUGAAGGAUUUGGAAUUCAUGAGCAUAUCUGUGGGAGAGCAGGAAGUGCCAUCCUCUACGGUUACUUAAGUACUGGUGAUUAAAGGAAGUUUUAGAACGAAGGUUAAAAACAACAACUUAAACCUUAAAAGGAGAAUAGUGUUAUUGAAAUAUACAUGAAUGUAUACGUAACUCAUAAUGACUUGCCAUCUGCUCAUAUAUAUUCAAACUGAAGCACAGCUACCAAAUCCCAACACACACAGGAACAGUGCGGCAGAGAUUUUCUACGCCGUUUCCAGGCUGAUUUCUGUUUAGCUGCCACAAACAAUACAAUUUGAACUCUGCUUUGAUGUGAAAGAACUAAGAUGCAAAUUCUUCAUUCCGACUCUCGGUGGAUAUGUAUCAACACAGCUUUGUAUUGUGUGAU